UACAUGGGGUGCAAACGUUGCUCGGAAUUAUUGGGCGUAAAGGGCUCGUAGGCGGUUUGUCGCGUCGGGAGUGAAAACACGGGGCUUAACCCCGUGCCUGCUUCCGAUACGGGCAGACUAGAGGUAUGCAGGGGAGAACGGAAUUCCUGGUGUAGCGGUGAAAUGCGCAGAUAUCAGGAGGAACACCGGUGGCGAAGGCGGUUCUCUGGGCAUUACCUGACGCUGAGGAGCGAAAGUGUGGGGAGCGAACAGG
This 253-nucleotide ribosomal RNA is filed under the name uncultured bacterium. RNAcentral describes it as "partial 16S ribosomal RNA". It matches the Rfam family "Bacterial small subunit ribosomal RNA", at positions 524 to 776 of the family's 1533-position model. The record is from RNAcentral.